Molecule: RNase P RNA, 741 nt
Filed under: Candidatus Magasanikiibacteriota bacterium
Lineage: Bacteria; Candidatus Magasanikiibacteriota
Description: RNase P RNA component class A
Rfam family: Bacterial RNase P class A
About the family: Ribonuclease P (RNase P) is a ubiquitous endoribonuclease, found in archaea, bacteria and eukarya as well as chloroplasts and mitochondria. Its best characterised activity is the generation of mature 5'-ends of tRNAs by cleaving the 5'-leader elements of precursor-tRNAs.
Source: RNAcentral
UUCAUAUCAGUCUUGAUCGCGUCACGACUUUACGUCGAGAUGAGGAAAGUCCGAACUCUCCCCUGGCAUUUGCCUAAGGUAGCAUGGUAGUGGGUAACACCCACCCCCGUAUACUGCAAAGUAUACAGGCGGGACAGUGCCACAGAGACAAUACUAAUUUUGCGCAGCAAAAUUACCCUGAGCGUAAGGAGGCCGCAGCCGACUGAAGUCGAAGGGUAUGAUGAGUGUAAUUCUAACCAAAAGCAUCUGCGUGAAGAUGGAUAGCAGAGUAUACUGGAUACUAUCCACCAUACGCCGAAGAUUAUUUUUGUGAGAAUUACCAUUAUACCCUUCGACUCACGUCCUGCCUGCCGGCAGGCGUUCGCUCAGGGUCGUCUUGCUGCGCAAGACGAAAGGUGAAAAGUGCAUUGACGUUUUUUCCUCUCGAGAGAAAAAGCGACAACGCUCGCCGCCUGGUGACAGCGCGGCGUGGUAAACCCUACUGAGAGCAAGAGCAGCCCUGGCUUCGCCUCCGCUGCGCUCCGGCUACGCCGGGCAGGCCCGACAGGUGUAUGAUUGAUUCACACUCAUACACGUGUCAUGUGCCAUGCCUGCAGGGCGUAGCUGUAGCGUAGCGGAAGCGAAGCCCUGGAAAAGUUCGCUCGCUGGAGUCACGUAGUAAUACGUGAACAAGAUAAAUGAUCAAGUCCCGAGAGCUCUGCUCAAAGGAUACAAAAUUCGGCUUACACUGCUAUGAACAAA